RNAcentral lists this ribosomal RNA (463 nucleotides) under uncultured bacterium. Its description in RNAcentral is "partial 16S ribosomal RNA". It matches the Rfam family "Bacterial small subunit ribosomal RNA", at positions 28 to 507 of the family's 1533-position model. The record is from RNAcentral.
GAUGAACGCUGACAGAAUGCUUAACACAUGCAAGUCUUUGGCGAAUCUGUGCUUGCACAGGCUAGCCAAGGCGGACGGGUGAGUAACGCGUAAAGAACUUGCCCUGCAGACAGGGAUAACAGACGGAAACGACUGAUAACACCUGAUACAGUUGCCGGCACGCAUGUGCCUGGCAAUGAAAAGAGAUGCUGCAGGAGAGCUUUGCGUCCUAUUAGCUUGUUGGUGAGGUGACGGCUCACCAAGGCGAUGAUAGGUAGCCGGCCUGAGAGGGGGAACGGCCACAAGGGGACUGAGAUACGGCCCUUACGCCUACGGGAGGCAGCAGUGGGGAAUAUUGGACAAUGGGGGCAACGCUGAUCCAGCAAUUCUGUGUGCACGAAGAAGGUUUUCGGAUUGUAAAGUGCUUUCAGAAGGGAAGAAGAAAGUGACGGUACCUGCAGAAGAAGCGACGGCUAAAUACGUG